RNAcentral lists this small RNA (123 nucleotides) under Marmota monax (woodchuck). The record is from RNAcentral. Lineage: Eukaryota; Metazoa; Chordata; Mammalia; Rodentia; Sciuridae.
GCCGGGCACAGUGACACAUGCCUGUAAUCCCAUCAGCUCAGGAGGCUGAGGCAGGAGGAUCAUGAGUUCACCACCCUCAGCAACUCAGUGAGGCCUAAAUAACUCAGUGAAACCCUGUCUCUA